CGGGGCAGAGGAGACAGGUGGUGCAUGGUUGUCGUCAGCUCGUGUCGUGAGAUGUUGGGUUAAGUCCCGCAACGAGCGCAACCCCUAUCCUUAGUAGCCAGCACAUCAUGGUGGGCACUCUAGGGAGACUGCCGGGGAUAACCCGGAGGAAGGCGGGGACGACGUCAAAUCAUCAUGCCCCUUAUGAUUUGGGCUACACACGCGCUACAAUGGCGUAAACAAAGGGAAGCGAGACAGCGAUGUUUAGCAAAUCCCAAAAAUAACGUCCCAGUUCGGACUGCAGUCUGCAACUCGACUGCACGAAGCUGGAAUCGCUAGUAAUCGCGAAUCAGAAUGUCGCGGUGAAUACGUUCCCGGGUCUUGUACACACCGCCCGUCACACCAUGGGAGUCAGUAACGCCCGAAGUCAGUGACCCAACCUUAACGGAGGGAGCUGCCGAAGGCGGGACCGAUAACUGGGGUGAAGUCGUAACAAGGUAGCCGUAUCGGAAGGUGCGGCUGGAUCACCUC
This 510-nucleotide ribosomal RNA is filed under the name uncultured bacterium. RNAcentral describes it as "bacterial SSU rRNA". It matches the Rfam family "Bacterial small subunit ribosomal RNA", at positions 1021 to 1529 of the family's 1533-position model. The record is from RNAcentral.